AGUGAACGCUGGCGGUAGGCCUAACACAUGCAAGUCGAACGGCAGCACAGUAAGAGCUUGCUCUUACGGGUGGCGAGUGGCGGACGGGUGAGGAAUACAUCGGAAUCUACUUUUUCGUGGGGGAUAACGUAGGGAAACUUACGCUAAUACCGCAUACGACCUCCGGGUGAAAGCAGGGGAUCUUCGGACCUUGCGCGAUUGAAUGAGCCGAUGUCGGAUUAGCUAGUUGGCGGGGUAAAGGCCCACCAAGGCGACGAUCCGUAGCUGGUCUGAGAGGAUGAUCAGCCACACUGGAGCUGAGACACGGUCCAGGCUCCUACAGGAGGCAGCAGUGGGGAAUAUUGGACGAUGGGCGCAAGCCUGAUCCAGCCAUACCGCGUGGAUGAAGAAGGCCUUCGGGUUGUAAAGCCCUUUUGUGGGGAAAGAAAAGCAGCAGGUUAAUACCCCGCUGUUCGGACGGUACCCAAAGAAUAAGCACCGGCUAACAUCGG
Molecule: ribosomal RNA, 491 nt
Filed under: uncultured bacterium
Lineage: Bacteria
Description: partial 16S ribosomal RNA
Rfam family: Bacterial small subunit ribosomal RNA
Source: RNAcentral